AUAUCAGUCAUGCAUAGCAUAUCAAUAAGCGGAGGAAAAGAAACUAACAAGGAUUCCCUUGGUAACGGCGAGUGAAGCGGGAAGAGCUCAAAUUUGAAAUCUUCAAGGUUUUACCUUGACGAAUUGUAGUUUAAAGAAGUGUUUUCUGUUGAAGUUUUGGUAAAAGUUCUUUGGAAUAGGACAUCAUAGAGGGUGAGAAUCCCGUAUUUGACCAUUACUUUCAGCUUUGUGAUACACUUUCAAAGAGUCGGAUUGUUUGGGAAUGCAGUCCAAAAUGGGUGGUAAAUUUCAUCUAAAGCUAAAUAUUGGCGAGAGACCGAUAGCGAACAAGUACCGUGAGGGAAAGAUGAAAAGAACUUUGAAAAGAGAGUUAAACAGUACGUGAAAUUGUCAAAAGGGAAGCGUUUGACACCAGUGUUGUUUUCUCGAAAAUCAAUUAAAAAGAGUUGGAUUUUGUGUUGUAUUGACUUUAUCAGCUUUCUUCACUCUUUUCCAGCUUUUUUUAAUGCACUUUUCGUUUAACAAGUCAACAUCAGUUUCUUUUGUUGUAAAAAGGUCAUUGGAAGGUGGCUUUCUCUUCGGAGAAAGUGUUUAUAGCCUUUGACUCAUGCAAUCGGAGAGACUGAGGUCUGCAGCGUAGAUCCUUCGGGGUUAGGAUACAUUUGUGCUAAGUUAUAGCUUUUCAUAGACAACUUGUUGACUAUGUUUAGUCUUGUAGCUUACUCGCUUAUGCUAUUUUACCUACGCUUAGGAUGUUGAACUCUAUCACACACAG
This 775-nucleotide ribosomal RNA is filed under the name uncultured Neocallimastigales. Its description in RNAcentral is "partial large subunit ribosomal RNA". It matches the Rfam family "Eukaryotic large subunit ribosomal RNA", at positions 22 to 621 of the family's 3401-position model. Lineage: Eukaryota; Fungi; Neocallimastigomycota; Neocallimastigomycetes; Neocallimastigales. The record is from RNAcentral.